Mycena metata is the source of this 93-nucleotide non-coding RNA. The record is from the annotation of a GenBank genome assembly. NCBI's taxonomy places the organism in Eukaryota, Fungi, Basidiomycota, Agaricomycetes, Agaricales, Mycenaceae.
GACCUGAUAGCACAGCUGGUUAGUGCAUCUGCUCAAAAUUCGAUUUCGUUGUUGUUUAGGUGGAAGACCCUCGUUCGAUUCGGGGUCAGGUCA